GAUGAACGCUGGCGGCAUGCCUAAUACAUGCAAGUCGAGCGAACAGACGAGGAGCUUGCUCCUCUGACGUUAGCGGCGGACGGGUGAGUAACACGUGGAUAACCUACCUAUAAGACUGGGAUAACUUCGGGAAACCGGAGCUAAUACCAGAUAAUAUAUUGAACCGCAUGGUUCAAUAGUGAAAGACGGUUUUGCUGUCACUUAUAGAUGGAUCCGCGCCGCAUUAGCUAGUUGGUAAGGUAACGGCUUACCAAGGCAACGAUGCGUAGCCGACCUGAGAGGGUGAUCGGCCACACUGGAACUGAGACACGGUCCAGACUCCUACGGGAGGCAGCAGUAGGGAAUCUUCCGCAAUGGGCGAAAGCCUGACGGAGCAACGCCGCGUGAGUGAUGAAGGUCUUCGGAUCGUAAAACUCUGUUAUUAGGGAAGAACAAAUGUGUAAGUAACUAUGCACGUCUUGACGGUACCUAAUCAGAAAGCCACGGCUAACUACGUG
This 497-nucleotide ribosomal RNA is filed under the name uncultured bacterium. Its description in RNAcentral is "partial 16S ribosomal RNA". It matches the Rfam family "Bacterial small subunit ribosomal RNA", at positions 28 to 507 of the family's 1533-position model. The record is from RNAcentral.